ACCGCCUGCCAGAUCCGUUCUGCGCAUGCGCAUAAUUACGUAGUAGAAGACGUAACGAUUCCUCUGUAAUAUCUGUACCACGCAUGUCUUGAAACAGUUGACGGCCAAGAAGCGGCACAUUUGACGAGACCAACUUCGCAGAAAAAUAUAUUUUGACUACACCCGACGAAUUAUGUUCACAGAUUGUGCAGGUUGAUGCCACUAAAGACCACGAUUAACUUCACCAAAGGACAUGGAAAUAUGUGCGUUCAAACCACCAGAAGGUGCAGUGCAACCAAGUCCACCAAGCCCCCCCAGGACACACAAAUCACUCAACAACAUAGAAUGACAAAAUGCCACCCCAAAUUGUCAGAUGGCACAGUUCAUGUCAAAAGCCCAAGGACUCAGAACAUGAAGCCAAAGAAGUAGAUGAUGACUCGGCCCAGUGACACCAAAUGGAAAAGCCCAUUGCAGUAGUCAACCCUACUGGAGAUGAAUGCAUCAAUAAGUUAUCUAAAUCAUGUUUUGACAUUAGACAUCUAAGUUUGGCCAUGUUUUUGAGGCUUAUGACUCUGCCACUGCACAUGGUUUGUAGAGAGAGGCACGCACACUCUAU
This is a long non-coding RNA of Alosa alosa (allis shad), 595 nucleotides long. RefSeq lists it as uncharacterized. NCBI's taxonomy places the organism in Eukaryota, Metazoa, Chordata, Actinopteri, Clupeiformes, Clupeidae. The record is from RefSeq and is a predicted model, not a curated record. The transcript has 4 exons.